Molecule: ribosomal RNA, 244 nt
Filed under: uncultured bacterium
Lineage: Bacteria
Description: partial 16S ribosomal RNA
Rfam family: Bacterial small subunit ribosomal RNA
Source: RNAcentral
UACGGGGGGGCAAGCGUUGUUCGGAAUUACUGGGCGUAAAGGGCUCGUAGGCGGCCAACUAAGUCGGAUGUGAAAUCCCCGGGCUUAACCUGGGAAUGGCAUUUGGGACUGCAAGGCUUGAGUGCGGCAGAGGAGACUGGAAUUCCUGGUGUAGCAGUGAAAUGCGUAGAUAUCAGGAGGAACACCGAUGGCGAAGGCAGGUCUCUGGGCUGACACUGACGCUCAUGCACGAAAGCGUGGGAGC